Molecule: long non-coding RNA, 262 nt
Filed under: Nicotiana benthamiana
Lineage: Eukaryota; Viridiplantae; Streptophyta; Magnoliopsida; Solanales; Solanaceae
Description: long non-coding RNA (NBEN_LNC036248)
Source: RNAcentral
AAUUUAGCCCUUAAUACAUGAUCAUUCAAGUCAGUUUUUUUUGUUAUUGGGGUAGGGUGAAUUCUUAUAGAUCCAUCCCCCGAGGGAACUGGACAUGAUAAUUUUUAAUCAUCCAGCUCGAGCAAGAAUAUAAAGAACCAAAUGAAUCCAUAUAUCCAUAUAAAAUAUAUAUAUAUAUAUAUAUAUAUAUAUGGUACCUGUAUUUACACAUACACAUAUAUGAUAUAGGAAUGGUUCAAUGUAAAAAAAAUUUUGACUGAAU